UCCCAGCGGAAGCAGAGAAUCUGGAUUCA
RNAcentral lists this non-coding RNA (29 nucleotides) under Rattus norvegicus (Norway rat). The record is from RNAcentral. Lineage: Eukaryota; Metazoa; Chordata; Mammalia; Rodentia; Muridae.